GUCAGUGUUGCACAACGGUUAAGUGAAGAGGCUGUAAACCCAGACUGGAUGGGUUCAAUUCCCAUCUCUGCCG
Molecule: transfer RNA, 73 nt
Filed under: Homo sapiens (human)
Lineage: Eukaryota; Metazoa; Chordata; Mammalia; Primates; Hominidae
Description: tRNA-Tyr-GTA-12-1
Source: RNAcentral